Molecule: unclassified non-coding RNA, 378 nt
Filed under: uncultured Frankiales bacterium
Lineage: Bacteria; Bacillati; Actinomycetota; Actinomycetes; Frankiales
Description: contains 16S-23S intergenic spacer region
Source: RNAcentral
UCCGAGUUGACCCCGGCAGUCUCCCGUGAGUCCCCACCAUCAUGUGCUGGCAACACGGAACGAGGGUUGCGCUCGUUGCGGGACUUAACCCAACAUCUCACGACACGAGCUGACGACAACCAUGCACCACCUGUACGCAGCCCUUACGGACCCCCCAUCUCUGGGAGAUUUCUGCGCAUGUCAAGCCUUGGUAAGGUUCUUCGCGUUGCGUCGAAUUAAGCCACAUGCUCCGCCGCUUGUGCGGGCCCCCGUCAAUUCCUUUGAGUUUUAGCCUUGCGGCCGUACUCCCCAGGCGGGGCGCUUAAUGCGUUAGCUGCGGCGCGGAACCAGUGGAAACUGACCCCACACCUAGCGCCCAACGUUUACGGCGUGGACUAC